GACGUAGGGCGCGAGCGUUGUCCGGAUUUAUUGGGCGUAAAGGGCGCGUAGGCGGCCUGUUAAGUCGAACGUGAAAUCCCCGAGCUCAACCCGGGAACUGCGUCCGAUACUGGCAGGCUUGAAUCCGGGAGAGGGAUGCGGAAUUCCAGGUGUAGCGGUGAAAUGCGUAGAUAUCUGGAGGAACACCGGUGGCGAAGGCGGCAUCCUGGACCGGCAUUGACGCUGAGGCGCGAAAGCCAGGGGAGCAAACGGG
RNAcentral lists this ribosomal RNA (253 nucleotides) under uncultured bacterium. RNAcentral describes it as "partial 16S ribosomal RNA". It matches the Rfam family "Bacterial small subunit ribosomal RNA", at positions 524 to 776 of the family's 1533-position model. The record is from RNAcentral.